GAGCAGAGCGAGAGAGAGCCUGGCGGAUGGGCCGGAGAUGCCGCCUCCGCCUCCACGCCGCCGCCGCCGCCGUGCCAGCCGUGCCAGGAGGACUCUGAACAAUCAACUCCCAAAGAUGUCCUGAAAAAGGAGCCUUCUUCUGCCUGUAGAAGGAUGACAAUGAAAAGUUCCAAUCUAACUUCUCUAGGAACAGUGUUUCAGAUCAUGAGGACAAUAAUCAAAAAGGGCCUGUGUUUCCACCUGAUAUAUAUGUGAAGUAGAUGAAACAGAAAGAAGACCCCCAGAGGAUCUCAAAACACGGACAGGAUCAUUCAGAUCAACUGGACCUUUACCUACUGUGCCUGUAUUCAUAUAUGUUAGUGAUGAUGAAGAGGCUGAUUCUCCAUGCCCAGAGCCUAUAACAUUGGAGCAUACUCUGGAAUAUUGGGAUCCCAUGUGUGGGUGCUGGUGGGAUUGGAGAUGGUAUUAGGGACAGAAGGAUCCACAUGACCAGUCUCAAUCUCAGAGUUCCACAUGUAGGUAUGAGAAAGCAGCAUUCAUCCAUCAACAAAAACAGGACAGGUUAUCAUAUGCACAGUUAGGGAAGAAAUCCAAAUGUAGUUCAUAUAUACAUGCACAGCUCUUGAUUUAACCACGACUUUGCAACACAACUGGCCCAAGUGAAAAGUAUGUUGCAUGAACACAUUAUUUUUUAAUCCUUCAACAACACUGCAUUGACUACAGUGUUUUUAACAGAGAAUACUAUCCAGCUACAGUAUAGAGACAUUCACAUGUGUAUCAUUUUUUUUCCUUUUAUAAUUUAAUGGAUCUUCACAGUCGUGUGUUAUGUCCCUAGUUGGGGUUUUAUACAUUUCCCUUGCAAAUAAGUGCAACAUAUCCUAUAAAAAUAAGAGAAAUUCUAGCCUUUGUUCUUCACUGCGAUGAAUUUCAAACAAAAUUAAGCUGGUAUUUCCUUGGUUACUUAUUAACCACAGUUCAUUUAACAAAAUCAAUAUUUCAGGCAAAGAGGUAAACACUUGCCACACCGACCUGUCUUUUUUCCUUUACAUUUACAAGCUGUUUUUUUUUAAAAAAGAAGAAUAAAAUGCAUCUGCCUGGAAACCAGAGGGGAACGAGGAACAGUGCCUCUUAUCCCAGGGAUAUGCAAAGCACAUUUUAUUUUGCCUUUUAUCUCUCCAAUUGUAUGUUGAUCCCAUACAUAUAGAUUGAUUUUGCACAGGUAGAUAAUGAAAAGUCAAGGGGGAAAAUUUACACAACGGCACUCAGGAUCUCAGCUCUCUAUUGGUAUAUAAAUUGGUUUAUUAUUUCAUUCUCUUAAAGAGGGCCAUCCACACUGGGGAGCAUUUUAAAAUCUUUUAUGUUUAAACGCAAACCCAUUUACCAUUUGUCUCCUCUUUUUUCCGUUUGUAAUUUCCACAGCAUUUUGGGUUUAAUUUUCAAAUAUAUUUAUGUGUAAACAUACUGUUGCUUAUUCCUAACUCCUGCAUCCGUCACCUUGUUCCGACAGUCAAGGCUCUCAAGCCGAAUUUCUGACAGGAGGACAGUGACAGCUGGGAGCCCAAGACGUAUGUGAGAUCCAAAGCAGAACAUAUGACUAAGACCUGGAGGAAAAUAGAACAACAAGGGGAAGAAGAAAAGCACCUGGGAAAAAUGGAAGAAAAUAUGUUUUUAAAAAAAACCUAAGACCUACUUUCCAAGACAAAUUGGGGUUGUCUAAAGGUUGGCAGCUACUACAAGAAGAAAGAAGAUAUUGAAGCUUAUUUAAAAUGAAUAUAUUCACAUGGUUCCUAUUUUUUCAUUUUUUUUAAAAAAAGAAUCCAAAUCAUUAUUUUCUGCCUAUGUUCUUUUCUCUCUCAGAUGUGAUUUUUAUUGACGAUUUCCCCUUUAUAUGAGCAUUCAUACCAUCUAACCUGCAUGAUGUCUUGUUUGAAAGUCCAAUUGAAAAACAUAUUCACCUUUGCUUAAAUGUGGAUUGUAAAACCAGCCAUUUGGAGCUUGUAGUAUCUUUUCAAUGUAAUCCAAUGGAGCCAGCACUUCCUUCCACAAUAUCUUUUAAUAGCUAUCUAUGAUAGGAAUAGGCAAAAUGUGAUUGAUGGUCUCUAGAAUUUGCAGCUGUAUCUCCUCACUUAAGUUUUUUGGCCCUGAAUCCAAAUAACCAA
Molecule: non-coding RNA, 2159 nt
Organism: Anolis sagrei ordinatus
Lineage: Eukaryota; Metazoa; Chordata; Lepidosauria; Squamata; Anolidae
Source: RefSeq, a predicted model, not a curated record